Non-coding RNA from Parelaphostrongylus tenuis, 72 nucleotides. Lineage: Eukaryota; Metazoa; Nematoda; Chromadorea; Rhabditida; Metastrongylidae. The record is from the annotation of a GenBank genome assembly.
GCCCCGGUAGUGUAAUUGAUAGCACAAGCCCUUGGAGCGGGUGAAAUGCGGGUUCGAAUUCCGUCCGAAGUU